UACAGAGGGAGCAAGCGUUGUUCGGAAUUACUGGGCGUAAAGGGCGCGUAGGCGGUUCGAUAAGUCCCGUGUGAAAUCCCUCGGCUCAACUGAGGAAUGGCACGGGAAACUGACGGGCUUGAGUUCGGGAGAGGGAAGCGGAAUUCCGGGUGUAGCGGUGAAAUGCGUAGAUAUCCGGAGGAACACCGGUGGCGAAGGCGGCUUCCUGGACCGACGCUGACGCUGAGGCGCGAAAGCUAGGGGAGCAAACGGG
This 253-nucleotide ribosomal RNA is filed under the name uncultured bacterium. RNAcentral describes it as "partial 16S ribosomal RNA". It matches the Rfam family "Bacterial small subunit ribosomal RNA", at positions 524 to 776 of the family's 1533-position model. The record is from RNAcentral.